AUACGGAGGCGGCUAGCGUUGUUCGGAAUUACUGGGCGUAAAGCGUACGUAGGCGGACUGAUCAGUUGGGGGUGAAAUCCCAGGGCUUAACCCUGGAACUGCCUUCAAUACUGUCAGUCUUGAGUUUGGGAGAGGUGAGUGGAAUUCCUAGUGUAGAGGUGAAAUUCAUAGAUAUUAGGAGGAACACCAGUGGCGAAGGCGGCUCACUGGCCCAUUACUGACGCUGAGGUACGAAAGCGUGGGGAGCAAACAGGAUUAGAAACCCUAGUAGUCC
RNAcentral lists this ribosomal RNA (274 nucleotides) under uncultured bacterium. RNAcentral describes it as "partial 16S ribosomal RNA". It matches the Rfam family "Bacterial small subunit ribosomal RNA", at positions 523 to 796 of the family's 1533-position model. The record is from RNAcentral.